ACCGAUUGAAUGGUUUAGCAAGGUCCUCGGAUUGGUGCCAUUGUAGUGGCUUCGGCCGCUCGACCGGUGCUGAGAAGACGACCAAACUUGAUCAUUUAGAGGAAGUAAAAGUCGUAACAAGGUUUCCGUAGGUGAACCUGCGGAAGGAUCAUUACCUGAAAAUCUACUCUCACACAAGCGAUACACGUGUGACCGUCAUGUCAUGCGAUAAAAAUUUGCGGACGGCUAUGCCUGGCUCAUUGAGGUCACAGCAUAUCCGAACACUGAUGGGGUGCCUACCUGUAUGAUACUCCGAUGGUAUGCUUGCGUCUCUCGGGGCGCUUGUCCAAGCCAGGAGAACGGGUUGUACUGCCACGAUUGGUAGUGCUAGGCUUAAAGAGGAGAUUUGGGCUACGGCCCUGCUCCCGCCCUAUGAACUGUUUCAUUACUACAUUUACACUGUUAAAGUGGUACUGAAUGGCUUGCCAUUCUUUGCCAUUGCCCUCGCAU
RNAcentral lists this unclassified non-coding RNA (489 nucleotides) under Fasciola sp. Dam2. RNAcentral describes it as "partial contains 18S rRNA, ITS1". The stretch from base 1 to 154 matches the Rfam family "Eukaryotic small subunit ribosomal RNA", at positions 1684 to 1831 of the family's 1831-position model. The record is from RNAcentral. Lineage: Eukaryota; Metazoa; Platyhelminthes; Trematoda; Plagiorchiida; Fasciolidae.